AAACCAACAGGGAUUGCCCUAGUAACGGCGAGUGAAGCGGCAGCAGCUCAAAUUUGAAAUCUGGUCCCCCGGGCCCGAGUUGUAAUUUGUAGAGGAUGCUUCGGCGUUGGCCCCGGCCUAAGUUCCUUGGAACAGGACGUCGCAGAGGGUGAGAAUCCCGUACGCGGCCGGUGUCCCUCGCCAUGUGAAGCUCCUUCGACGAGUCGAGUUGUUUGGGAAUGCAGCUCUAAAUGGGAGGUAAAUUUCUCCUAAAGCUAAAUACCGGCCAGAGACCGAUAGCGCACAAGUAGAGUGAUCGAAAGAUGAAAAGCACUUUGGAAAGAGAGUUAAAAAGUACGUGAAAUUGUUGAAAGGGAAGCGCUUGCAGCCAGACCUGCCCGCGGUCGCUCAUCCAGGCUCCUGCCUGGUGCACUCUUCCGCGGUCAGGCCAGCAUCGGUCCGGGCGGCCGGACAAAGGCGGCGGGAACGUGGCUCCCCUCGGGGAGUGUUAUAGCCCGCCGCGCAAUGCGGCCAGCCGGGACCGAGGUCCGCGCCUCGGCUAGGAUGCUGGCGUAAUGGCUGCAAGC
Molecule: ribosomal RNA, 566 nt
Filed under: Psiloglonium sasicola
Lineage: Eukaryota; Fungi; Ascomycota; Dothideomycetes; Hysteriales; Hysteriaceae
Description: LSU rRNA
Rfam family: Eukaryotic large subunit ribosomal RNA
Source: RNAcentral